This 109-nucleotide small RNA is filed under the name Gilliamella apicola. RNAcentral's name for it is "RtT RNA". It matches the Rfam family "RtT RNA", at positions 17 to 130 of the family's 130-position model. From Rfam's summary of the family: This family represents a bacterial cis-regulatory element known as RtT RNA. Lineage: Bacteria; Pseudomonadati; Pseudomonadota; Gammaproteobacteria; Orbales; Orbaceae. The record is from RNAcentral.
AGAGGAUGAGAACCGACGGAGGUUAGAGCCGAGCGCAGCGAGACAACGUUGCUUUAGCAACAACCAGAAGAGUUAGUAUGAAAUGCAAGGAAUUCUCUCUCGCCAACCA